GAUGAACGCUGGCGGCGUGCCUAAUACAUGCGAGUCGAGCGAACAGACGAGGAGCUUGCUCCUCUGACGUUAGCGGCGGACGGGUGAGUAACUCGUGGAUAACCUACCUAUAAGACUGGGAUAACUUCGGGAGACCGGAGCUAAUACCGGAUAAUAUAUUGAACCGCAUGGUUCAAUAGUGAAAGACGGUUUUGCUGUCACUUAUAGAUGGAUCCGCGCCGCAUUAGCUAGUUGGUAAGGUAACGGCUUACCAAGGCAACGAUGCGUAGCCGACCUGAGAGGGUGAUCGGCCACACUGGAACUGAGACACGGUCCAGACUCCUACGGGAGGCAGCAGUAGGGAAUCUUCCGCAAUGGGCGAAAGCCUGACGGAGCAACGCCGCGUGAGUGAUGAAGGUCUUCGGAUCGUAAAACUCUGUUAUUAGGGAAGAACAAAUGUGUAAGUAACUAUGCACGUCUUGACGGUACCUAAUCAGAAAGCCACGGCUAACUACGUG
Molecule: ribosomal RNA, 497 nt
Filed under: uncultured bacterium
Lineage: Bacteria
Description: partial 16S ribosomal RNA
Rfam family: Bacterial small subunit ribosomal RNA
Source: RNAcentral